This 333-nucleotide unclassified non-coding RNA is filed under the name Hevea brasiliensis (rubber tree). Lineage: Eukaryota; Viridiplantae; Streptophyta; Magnoliopsida; Malpighiales; Euphorbiaceae. The record is from RNAcentral.
AAAAAACCUUUCUUAAAGGUUGAAUCUCCACUUGCGUUUCUUGCAACUCCUGAAAUUGAGAAGCAAAAAUCUUAAAAUUGUCACAGUGACCCACUCUCAAGCACUUCAGUAUGGGACAUUCAAAAGCAUGUAUUCCAGGGUAGAAGCUCUUUAAUUUUUGUAAUCUCCAAAGUUUCAAGGACGUCAAUUGAUGAAACACAAACUUAGGAGUUGCUUCUAAUCCUUCCUCAUUUGAAACAAUUUCCUCCAACCCACAAUCAUUAAUAAUUAUCUCUGCAAGUCGUGGAAGAUUUCUUGCAAUUGAAGGUGGAAAGAGACUAUUCAGACUAGGAC